ACUUUUUAAGCUCCUCUUGUUGUUGGAGUUCUCAUUCAGUGUCUGACAAGAUGGGAGCUGAGUCAGUGUUGGUCUUUGUCAUUCUGGCUGUUUGCUCUGGCAUUGGUAUGUAUUUUAUUAAUUUCUUAAAAGCAAUUCUGUUCUUUUAUACCCCAAACUCAGGAAUCUCCUCUUUGAGUAACAGCCUUGGUCUUCUGCAGUCAGUGGAUUCCAGUGUAAAUAACAUUAAAGAAGUUCAAAUGGAAACCAAUGAGGUAGAAGCUGAGACGUCACUUAAGAGACUUGGAAACGUUUGGACUAGCAUAGCCGCUAGACGCCAGUCCGACGCCGCCAGCAACCAGACUGUGUCCGACGCCGCCAGCAACCAGACUGUGUCCGACGCCGCCAGCAACCAGACUGUGUCCGACGCCGCCAGCAACCAGACUGUGUCCGACGCCGCCAGCAACCAGACUGUGUCCGACGCCGCCAGCAACCAGACUGUGUCCGACGCCGCCAGCAACCAGACUGUGUCCGACGCCGCCAGCAACCAGACUGUGUCCGACGCCGCCAGCAACCAGACUGUGUCCGACGCCGCCAGCAACCAGACUGUGUCCGACGCCGCCAGCAACCAGACUGUGUC
This 619-nucleotide long non-coding RNA is filed under the name Oryzias javanicus (javanese ricefish). Its description in RNAcentral is "lncRNA (ENSOJAG00000019295.1)". Lineage: Eukaryota; Metazoa; Chordata; Actinopteri; Beloniformes; Adrianichthyidae. The record is from RNAcentral.